This is a non-coding RNA of Cinara cedri, 482 nucleotides long. The record is from the annotation of a GenBank genome assembly. NCBI's taxonomy places the organism in Eukaryota, Metazoa, Arthropoda, Insecta, Hemiptera, Aphididae.
AGAGCGUUUAAUAGUUUUCUAAGUGCUAUGUUUUGGAAAGUUUGGAUUUUAUUUAUGUUAGAUUUUUUAGCAUUACCCCAUAAUUGAAUACCGUACAUCCAGAUUGGCUUAAUUAGGGAUUUGUUUAUAAAAAACUUGGUGUUAAUGUGUGUGAAAUUAAUAUUAAUUAUAUAAGUUUUUAGCGAUCGCAAUCGAGCGUUCAAACUGAGACGUUUAAUUCUUAAGUGCUGAGACCAGGUAAGUCGGCGAUCAAGGGUUAAUCCAAGAUAUUUAACUAAUGCCGAGAUGGGGAUUUGGGUAUUGUAGAUAGUUACAGGGAGCAAGUCUGAGGGUAAACGUAGUGUGAACAGACUUAUAUUGAUUGACUUUAAGCCACCAUUUAGUGUACCAGCGUUCCAUGAAAUUAAGAUGAUUUUGUAAGUGAGUUGAGACAAUGAAGCUGUCAGGAUAAGUGAAAAUAAUGGCCUUGUCAUCAGCAUAGU